Molecule: ribosomal RNA, 816 nt
Filed under: uncultured archaeon
Lineage: Archaea
Description: bacterial SSU rRNA
Rfam family: Archaeal small subunit ribosomal RNA
Source: RNAcentral
UACUGCUCAGUAACACGUAGUCAAUCUGCCCUCGGGACGAGAACAACCUUGGGAAACUGGGGGUAAUUCUCGAUGGGCGCAGUGGCCUGGAAUGGUACUGCACCUAAAGGACUUUUGGAACAUGCUCCUUAAGUCGCCCUAGGAUGAGACUGCGGCCGAUCAGGUUGUUGGUGGGGUAACGGCCUACCAAGCCUAUAACCGGUACGGGCCCUGAGAGGGGUAGCCCGGAGAUGGGAACUGAGACAAGGUCCCAGGUCCUACGGGGCGCAGCAGGCGCGAAAACUCCACAAUGUGCGAAAGCAUGAUGGGGUUAACCCGAGUGCCAUCCGAUGAGGACGGCUUUUCUUCAGUUUAAGGAUCUGGAGGAAUAAAGGGGGGGCAAGACUGGUGUCAGCCGCCGCGGUAAUACCAGCCCCCUGAGUGGUAGGGACGAUUAUUUGGCCUAAAGCGUCCGUAGCCUGUUUGGUAAGUCUUUCGUUAAAUCCGACGAUUCAAUCGUUGGGCCGCGGAAGAUACUGCCAGACUUGAGGACGGGAGAGGUCGACGGUAGUCCCAGGGUAGGGGUGAAAUCCUAUAAUCCUGGGAGGACCACCAGUGGCGAAGGCGGUCGACUAGAACGUGCCUGACGGUGAUGGACGAAAGCUGGGGGAGCGAACCGGAUUAGACACCCGGGUAGUCCCAGCUGUAAACGAUGCGAGCUAGGUGUUGGGGCAACUACGAGUUGCUCCAGUGCCGCAGAGAAGUUGUUAAGCUCGCCGCCUGGGAAGUACGGCCGCAAGGCUGAAACUUAAAGGAAUUGGCGGGGGAGCACAAUCA